Molecule: long non-coding RNA, 683 nt
Organism: Callithrix jacchus (white-tufted-ear marmoset)
Lineage: Eukaryota; Metazoa; Chordata; Mammalia; Primates; Cebidae
Source: RefSeq, a predicted model, not a curated record
GACCCCACACACAGUGGAGGUUGUGUUUUCAGUAGGAGGUGUGAUCUGAGCUCUCUAUUUUCUACUUCUACAAGAAUAAUGAUGAAAGUAUAAAGGAGCCUUUGUACAGAAUGAUGACAGUAUAAAGGAUUGUCAGAUUCUCCCUAACUUUACAGGUAUUCUGCAAGUUAUUCUGAAAUAACAGGUAACAGGUCACACAACUAUAUGACCUCCUAUAGGUACGCACUGCAAGCUGUUCUACUAAGCCACGCGAAAAGGCCCAAGAACUACAAUGGAAAAGGUGGAUGUGUGAGAUUGCAAGAUUCUGAGGGCUCUGAAGGUUAAUGAGUGCCUGCUCGCCUCUGUUCCCAUCUGGCCUGAAACUGCCAGGAAAUCCACCAUGAAGAAUAUUCACUUGUGAUGUCCACAAAAGAUUUGUCUUCUCUCAUGCCAUAAAGGUGUCCCAAACCACAUUCAUGGUUCUUCCUCGAAUCACCGCUAUCUGCUCAGUGACUCAGACUUCUGAUUUCCUUGAUAUUCUGUUUAGUUAACAAUGCAAAUUAGUUUUUUAAUUACACAGGUUUAAAAACAAUAAUGUGGCUAAUUGAAGUAUAAAGAAGUAAAAAUCACUUGAAAUUAGGCCAUCUUGAAAUAAAUAAUGUAAAUAUUUUGGUGAUCAUUUAUUCCUGCACAUCUUUAUAAGU